RNAcentral lists this ribosomal RNA (570 nucleotides) under Triticum aestivum (bread wheat). Its description in RNAcentral is "partial small subunit ribosomal RNA". The record is from RNAcentral. Lineage: Eukaryota; Viridiplantae; Streptophyta; Magnoliopsida; Poales; Poaceae.
AUGAACCUUGUGAGCUUGAACAACAAGAAGCACCUAGGCGCAAGAGGAAACAAAACAUCAGGGAUAAUGCUCGAUAGGUUAACUAAAUCUAGAGAAGGAAGAAUGGAGAUCCGUUUUGAGGCAGGUUUAAAAAGGCCACGUGAUGCUACAGAGUCAGCCAAGUUAGUAUUAGAGGCAGCGCUUGCUGUUAGGUGUCAUGUAUGUAUCCUCCCAACAUGGAUUCAGUACAAGAAUGACAAAGACGAAACCCAGUUCAACAUCUUCCUCGACCAUUUAUCUAUGAGGUUCAAGUUGGAUAGCCAAGAUGAUGCAACCAUACAAGCUUGCACCCAUGUUUUCAAGUCUGCUCUGCGACAGUAUCGUUAUAACUUGAGGAAAACUCACUUUGAAGGCAAGGCUAACAGUGAACUUUCCCAAACAUCUCGAGUGGAAAAUAUAUCUGAUGAAGACUGGAGAGGCCUCGUUAAACACUGGUCCGAUCUGAAGUAUCAGGUACAUUAUAUAUAUGUCAUCAGAUCACAUGUUGAAGUCCUAUUUACGCAUGUGCCACACAAAUCUAUCUUCUUGUAG